This 253-nucleotide ribosomal RNA is filed under the name uncultured bacterium. RNAcentral's name for it is "partial 16S ribosomal RNA". It matches the Rfam family "Bacterial small subunit ribosomal RNA", at positions 524 to 776 of the family's 1533-position model. The record is from RNAcentral.
UACGGAGGGUGCGAGCGUUGCCCGGAUUUAUUGGGCGUAAAGGGCGCGUAGGCGGUCACGCACGUCCGUUGUGAAAUCGCUCGGCUCAACUGGGCGGGGUCAGCGGAUACGGCGUGGCUGGAGCAAGCUAGGGGGCAAUGGAAUUCCCGGUGUAGUGGUGGAAUGCGUAGAUAUCGGGAGGAACACCAGUGGCGAAGGCGGUUGCCUGGAGCUUUGCUGACGCUGAUGCGCGAAAGCGUGGGGAGCGAUCCGG